GAUGAAGAACGUAGCGAAAUGCGAUACGUAAUGUGAAUUGCAGAUCUCUCAGUGAACCAUCGAAUUUUUGAACGCACAUAGCGCCCGCCGGUCAUUCCGGCGGGCAUGCCUGUCCGAGCGUCGAUGACGCCGCUCGAGCCCCCGUGCUCGGUGUUGGGGCGCUAGGUCUCCCAGAGGCCUAGGCCCCCAAGUAGCAGUGCGCGGUCCGGCUGCGGGCCCCGGGUACAGUAACUUCACUGUUGAGAUGCCCUGGGAGCCGCUGGCUGGUUCAGCCGUAAAACCCCCGACAUAGGCCUUCCUGUCCGCCCCCGGCGGGGAGGGAGACCGCCUAAUGUUGACCUCGGAUCAGGUAGGACUACCCGCUGAACUUAAGCAUAUCAAUAAGCGGAGGA
RNAcentral lists this unclassified non-coding RNA (392 nucleotides) under soil metagenome. RNAcentral describes it as "partial contains 5.8S ribosomal RNA, internal transcribed spacer 2, and large subunit ribosomal RNA". The stretch from base 1 to 123 matches the Rfam family "5.8S ribosomal RNA", at positions 35 to 154 of the family's 154-position model. The record is from RNAcentral.